GAGCGAUGAAGGCCUUCGGUCGUAAAGCUCUGUGGGGGAGGAGAAGAAUAAAGCCUGUGAAGAAUGGGCCUUGACGGUAUCUCCUUAGCAAGCACCGGCUAACUCCGUGCCAGCAGCCGCGGUAAUACGGAGGGUGCAAACGUUGCUCGGAAUCAUUGGGCGUAAAGCGCACGUAGGCGGCGAAGCAAGUCGGGUGUGAAAGCCCUGGGCUCAACCCAGGAAGUGCAUUCGAAACUAUUUCGCUUGAAUCUCGGAGGGGGUCAGAGAAUUCCCGGUGUAGAGGUGAAAUUCGUAGAUAUCGGGAGGAAUACCAGUGGCGAAGGCGCUGACCUGGACGAAGAUUGACGCUGAGGUGCGAAAGCGCGGGGAGCAAACAGGAUUAGAUACCCUGGUAGUCCGCGCUGUAAACGAUGAGUGCUAGACGGUGGAGGUAUUGACCCCUUCGCUGCCGAAGCUAACGCGUUAAGCACUCCGCCUGGGGAGUACGGUCGCAAGACUAAAAAC
RNAcentral lists this ribosomal RNA (504 nucleotides) under uncultured bacterium. RNAcentral describes it as "bacterial SSU rRNA". It matches the Rfam family "Bacterial small subunit ribosomal RNA", at positions 403 to 900 of the family's 1533-position model. The record is from RNAcentral.